Molecule: long non-coding RNA, 407 nt
Filed under: Mytilus galloprovincialis (Mediterranean mussel)
Lineage: Eukaryota; Metazoa; Mollusca; Bivalvia; Mytilida; Mytilidae
Source: RNAcentral
UGUGGUAUGAUUGCCAUGUUGAGACAACUCUCCACAAGAGACCAAAAUGACACAGAAAUUAACAAUUAUAGGUUACCGUACGGCCUUCAACAAAGAGCAAAGCCCAUACCGCAUACUCAGCUUCAAAAGGCCCCGAAAUGACAAUGUAAAACAAUGCAAACGAGAAAACUAACGGCCUUAUUUAUGUACAAAAAAUGAACGAAAAACAAAUAUGUAACACAUAAAAAAACGACAACCACUGAAUUACAGGCUCCUUACUUAAAUAAAUGUUCAUAACAUACUAAAUGUAUGUUCAUAUUGAAAUUGAUAGAAAACCAUAAAUUGGGAACUUUGGAAAUAACCUAUGACUUAUGAUACUUUUGCUGAAAUUCUCCAGUCAUUCUGUAUUUAACAAAAUUCUUCCAACA